CAUUCAGAUUGUCCCUGCUCCCUCAGUCACCUCUGCGCGCUGAGCCCGACCAGCUCGGACCUGUGCCCAGUAAAUUUGAUUUCCGGAGUCAGUCAUCUUGGCGUCUUCUUCGACAGUUCCCAAAGGGUCUGGAAUCCACCAGAAACCGAAGCCGGGGAGAGCGUGCUUGCCUUGGUCACUGCGCGGAGCAGCCACCCGCUUGGGAGCGCGGCAUUCACACACCAGUUGGAGACUAGGCUUGGGAAGUUUUCCACGUAGAUGGUGCCUCUCUCGUGGAUGGACGGGGAGAAAUAACAUCUGCAGAUUGCUGCCAGACACCCUGAGAACACAAGCCCACCUGGUCUUUGGUCCCCUUGCUGAAUGGCAUUCGCUGCGGUAGCCCACUGAGGGCUACUUUCCUGCGGAUUCAGGGUUUGGGCA
This 420-nucleotide long non-coding RNA is filed under the name Marmota marmota marmota (Alpine marmot). RNAcentral describes it as "lncRNA (ENSMMMG00000018215.1)". Lineage: Eukaryota; Metazoa; Chordata; Mammalia; Rodentia; Sciuridae. The record is from RNAcentral.